CUUUCCUUUGGUCAUUCUGUUUCGAUAAGGCUGAGGAGAAACCUCGAGCGGCGGUGGAGAGGAGGCGAGGAAUAGCUCGAGGGGUGGCGGAGAGGAGGCGAUUCAUGGUGAUUCCGAGCUAUUCCACCAUUGGAUUUUGAUCUCUCCCCCCUUUCUCUUCGCUCCUCAGCUGCCAUUGUUGGUUCCCCUUGUCUCUCGCGUUUCCCGUCCCGUAGUUCCAGAUCUAGGUGAGUUUCGUGGUCGUGGUUUGUGGAUCGUAUGUUUGCUGUUGUUCGUGGAUCUGUGAUAGGUGCUGCCAUGUUGUUCUAGUCCGUCCAAUUUCCCCACUCCAUUCUGCUCGCCUGAGUUGUGUAGGAGCUUGUAGUUGUGGGUUCUAGGUCUGUAGUUGUGUAGGAGGUUGUAGUUGCGGAUUCUAGGAGCUUUGUGGUUGUUUUUCUCCCCUGAUUGUAGGUGUGUUAGGCUUUAGUUUUUGUUUUAUUUUGUGUUGUGGUGGAGGUACACGUACUGGUAGUUGCAGUGGUGUCUGUCCCCUUGCUGUUAGACGAUAGUUGUAGGUGGC
RNAcentral lists this ribosomal RNA (559 nucleotides) under Triticum aestivum (bread wheat). RNAcentral's name for it is "partial small subunit ribosomal RNA". Lineage: Eukaryota; Viridiplantae; Streptophyta; Magnoliopsida; Poales; Poaceae. The record is from RNAcentral.